Long non-coding RNA from Ictalurus punctatus (channel catfish), 3097 nucleotides. Lineage: Eukaryota; Metazoa; Chordata; Actinopteri; Siluriformes; Ictaluridae. The record is from Ensembl.
CCUGAACAGCCCAAAUUUUACAGUAAAUUAUACUUUUGAGUGAUUGUAUAUGUAAAAAUGUGUGUCAAAUUAAUAAAUGCACUGUAAAUGAAUGUUUCAUGACACACACUACGGCGAAAGAAUGUAAAUAAUAAAAUCCAUCUGAAAGCUGGAAAAUUUCGAUAUUGGCUCCAACAUGUUUGUCAUCACAUUCAGGCCUCUGACCCAAUGCCUCUCUCUCUUUCUCUUCCUCAAUCUCUCCUUUCUCUCUCUCUCUCUUCCUUUUGGCUGUCUCUGGAAUCUACAAGCAGCUGGGAAAUAAGUGCAAAACAAAAAGCCUUUACUCAUUCUGCAGAGGAACAAUCCAUCCAAGCCAGCAAUUAGAAAAAUCAACAAAACACAACGGGCAUACUUAGAAGAUGAUGUGUGAAGAGAAACACCCGCCUGAAGCCGAACUCUCAUUCAGUCGUGGCCAAAUAUGAUGGGUCGGAUGGUAAACACACGCUAGCCGAGAAGCCGGAGAAAGUAAAUAAUAAAAGAUGCAUCUGAGAAGUAUUACACGUUGAACCUUUUUGGGUUUUCUUUGCAUGUCGAUGUCUGCAUUUGCUAAACAGGUAGGCUAGGGCAUAAAUCUGGCUAGCAAACUCUUAUCUUGUUUUAGCCUGCAACUGAAAUUUGGAAUAGAGCGAUGCUUACCGAAUAUUAAUGUGGGAAAAUUCCCAAAGCUAAACCAAACCGCCUAUAAUGUUGAAAUAAGUCCUACAGCUACUUUAAUUAUAACCUACAGUGUUUUAAUAACAGACAAAAGUAGGACAUAGUUCAUUUAACACUGUGUUUGAUCUUUCACUAAUAUGAUUUAGCAGUGUAGGUGCUAAUUCAGCAAAGUGUGUGUGUGUGUGUGUGUGUGUGUGUGUGUGUGUGUGUGUGUGUGUGUGUGUGUGUGUUUAGCAUUAAGGAUUUGGCUAUGUAGAAGAAAUAUGAACUUCUCAGGUGUCUUCCAGAUUCACUUCAAGGUCUUCUUCGACAUAUAGGAGCUGACUGGAAAAAAUAAAUAAAUAAAAUAAACCCACAAACGGGUUCUGCUACUUUUAGUCAAAUUAUAUAAUUAGGCUGCAAUGUUUGCAAGACUGUCAAAUUUGGUGUCCCUGAAAAAAAAAAAAAAAAAAAAAUCCCAAUCCAAAACGGUGGUGUUAGGAUUGUAUAUCAUUUUUAUACAUACAAACAGAUAGCACAGUAUUAAAACCAAUUUUUUUUUUAAAACAUACACUCAACUUCUGUCAUAAAAAUUAAAACAGUUAACAGAUUUUUGUUUACCUCAUUAUCUUACCGUUUAGGUGAGUUUCGGACCGCACGUCCUUUCGAAUGAAACCGCAUUGAUUCCCACGAGCAAGUUUCCACUCUUAAGAACUCGUCAAAGUGAAGAUCACCUCAAGAAUUUCGAGAUAUAUGUAUACAUAUAUAAAGAUAUAUAUUUCUCUCUCUCUCUCUCUUUUACUCUUUAAAAUAUCCGUCCACGCCGUCGGUUCAUUUUGACGAAAUUUCCGUUAGAUUCCGUUAAUAAUCCGAGUUUAAACUUUUUAAAUCCCUCAGAUCGGACAGCUCGUGAGACAUCUCGCGCCGCACGCCUCGCGCAGUCCGUGCGCGCGCGCGACGCUAACGGCUCGCCCAGCGAUAGCUCAGCACAGCAAUGCUACCACUUGUAGCAACUUCUCGAAGCUUUUUUUAACAAGUAAAUCCGUCCAGACCUUAACUACGAACGGAAAUCUGACUGAAAACAACCCAUUUCAGAUUAAACUAUGAGGAAAUGAUUUCUCUCAGGACGCGCCAAAAGAGUCUCCCACGGACGGAGUCUCGUGUCCGUACGGAAAGAUGAGGGAUUUGUGAAGCUUUCGUACUGUAUAUAGCAGGACAAGACAGGACCCAGAAAGGGGGCUGGUUUCAAGAGGAGGGGGGGAUGAAAAAAAGAAGACGACAAGAAAUGCAUGAGAGGGAAAACGGAGGAACAACAUCUGCUGCCUUGCCGAUAGUUAAAUGUGACGUCUGUGUGGUACGAAUGACUCGAACCCGAAGACUCAAGAGGUGAACUAGUCCUUUCUGUUUCCGGGGAACGGACGUGACAAAAGGAAGAACGACUCGGAUCUGGAGGAUUUGGAUGCACAAAGUAUGAAACUGAAUCCAUCCAUUUUCACAGGCUCAAAAGUAAUUGGACAAUUGACUGAUAAGCAGUUUUAUGUUUCCCUCCUGUUAUUUCGUGACAAAUUAAUGAGAUAAAAGGUCUUGAGUUGUUUCCAAGCAUUGGACUUGGUAUCUUCAUGAAAACAUGUUGAAACUUCAUGAGAACUUUCAACAUGCGGUCCAAAGAGGUGUUGAUGGAAGUGAAGGAGGCCAUCAUUAGGCUGAAAAAAAAAACAAAACAGACAGAGAGACAGGAGAAACUUAUUAUUAAGUCUGAGAUCACAAGCUCAUCAUCCAAAAUGCAGAUUAAUUGAAAAUGAUAUGAGAAAUGAAUUAAUUGAAAGAAUGAGAAACUUUUUUCGAAGGUCAUCUCCCAACAUAGGACAGCAAAUCCCUUUGGACAAGACUAAGACCAAUCUGGAUUUCAAAGCUAGGGUUUUCAUCUUAAAAACUGCGGACCCCUUGCUCGUCACGGUUUGUUGAUUUUACCUGCUCCCAAGGCACCCAAUCUUACUGACAGAGAAGACAAUUACUUGGAAAGAGGAGUAAAGGACGAUGACUACAUCAAGCUGGAGCAAGCAUCCCUGAAUAGAGAGGGAGGAUCAGACCACCACUUAUCUGUUUACAAGGAAGUCCUAACGUAUAUUUACUCUGGCUUGUUUAUCACACCUGCAGACAGUCAUGUGAUUUUAAGUUUAAUGACAACCUUAGUCACCUACCAAGGAUUAAACAUCAAUGCAUUUUCCCAGCAUUCAGUAUAAUGUAUUCAGAAUAACCGUUAUUUUUGGUUUUUAAUACAUUUUAUGUACACUCCAGACAGCUCUGAAUUUACCUAUUAAACUAUAGCCCAUGCCCGCACAUCUUUUCACCCUCUCACACACUUCUCUGAAUUAUACCCAUGUCUCCCCCCCGCCCUUUUUUUUCCUUUUCCUGACUAUUACAG